Non-coding RNA from Perkinsus olseni, 107 nucleotides. Lineage: Eukaryota; Perkinsozoa; Perkinsida; Perkinsidae. The record is from the annotation of a GenBank genome assembly.
UGCCUUCUAAGCUCAGUUGGUAGAGUACCCGCUUAGACUAAGCGGCCUCCCGCUUACUAAACUGCUUACUAAGCGGGAGCUCGUCGGUUUAACUCUGGCGGAAGCCU